Molecule: ribosomal RNA, 404 nt
Filed under: uncultured bacterium
Lineage: Bacteria
Description: bacterial SSU rRNA
Rfam family: Bacterial small subunit ribosomal RNA
Source: RNAcentral
AACGAACGCUGGCGGCGUGCCUAACACAUGCAAGUCGCGCGAGAACGGGGGGCAACUCCCUAGUAAAGCGGCGCACGGGUGAGUAACACGUAGGUAACCUACCCUCGAGUCCAGGAUAACCUACCGAAAGGUGGGCUAAUACCGGAUAUGACCACGGGAGCCUCGGCUCCUGCGGUGAAAGGUGGCCUCUGCUUGCAAGCCACUGCUCGGAGAUGGGCCUGCGCGCCAUUAGCAGUUGGUGGGGUAACGGCCCACCAAGGCGAUGAUGGCUAGCUGGUCUGAGAGGAUGGCCAGCCACACUGGGACUGAAACACGGCCCAGACUCCUACGGGAGGCAGCAGUGGGGGAUAUUGCGCAAUGGGCGAAAGCCUGACGCAGCGACGCCGCGUGGGUGAUGAAGGCCU